RNAcentral lists this ribosomal RNA (253 nucleotides) under uncultured bacterium. RNAcentral's name for it is "partial 16S ribosomal RNA". It matches the Rfam family "Bacterial small subunit ribosomal RNA", at positions 524 to 776 of the family's 1533-position model. The record is from RNAcentral.
UACGGGGGGAGCGAACGUUGUUCGGAAUCACUGGGCGUAAAGGGCGCGUAGGCGGCUUCGUAAGUGAGAUGUGAAAGCCCCUGGCUCAACCAGGGAAAUGCGUCUCAUACUGCGGGGCUUGAGUGCAGGAGAGGAUGGGGGAAUUCCCGGUGUAGCGGUGAAAUGCAUUGAUAUCGGGAGGAACACCAGUGGCGAAAGCGGCUCACUAGACAGUAACUGACGCUGAUGCGCGAAAGCUAGGGGAGCAAACAGG